GAAGAACGCUGGCGGCGUGCUUAACACAUGCAAGUCGAACGGAAAGGCCCUGCUUUUGUGGGGUGCUCGAGUGGCGAACGGGUGAGUAACACGUGAGUAACCUGCCCUUGACUUUGGGAUAACUUCAGGAAACUGGGGCUAAUACCGGAUAGGAGCUCCUGCUGCAUGGUGGGGGUUGGAAAGUUUCGGCGGUUGGGGAUGGACUCGCGGCUUAUCAGCUUGUUGGUGGGGUAGUGGCUUACCAAGGCUUUGACGGGUAGCCGGCCUGAGAGGGUGACCGGCCACAUCGGGACUGAGAUACGGCCCAGACUCCUACGGGAGGCAGCAGUGGAGAAUAUUGCACAAUUGGCGGAAGCCUGAUGCAGCAACGCCGCGUGCGGGAUGACGGCCUUCGGGUUGUAAACCGCUUUCGCCUGUGACGAAGCGUGAGUGACGGUAAUGGGUAAAGAAGCACCGGCUAACUACGUG
This 468-nucleotide ribosomal RNA is filed under the name uncultured bacterium. RNAcentral's name for it is "partial 16S ribosomal RNA". It matches the Rfam family "Bacterial small subunit ribosomal RNA", at positions 28 to 507 of the family's 1533-position model. The record is from RNAcentral.